AGCUUUGCACAAUGGCAGUAUCAUAGCCAGUGAGGUUUAUCUGAGGCGUGAUUAUUGCUAAUUGAAAUAUAAAAUAGAAUAGCUUAGCUCUUACUAUGUUUGACAAUUUGUACUUUUUCUUCUUAUAUGUUAAGA
Non-coding RNA from Canis lupus familiaris (dog), 135 nucleotides. Lineage: Eukaryota; Metazoa; Chordata; Mammalia; Carnivora; Canidae. The record is from Rfam.